Molecule: non-coding RNA, 110 nt
Filed under: uncultured Terrisporobacter sp.
Lineage: Bacteria; Bacillati; Bacillota; Clostridia; Peptostreptococcales; Peptostreptococcaceae
Description: FMN riboswitch (RFN element)
Rfam family: FMN riboswitch aptamer (RFN element)
About the family: The RFN element is a highly conserved domain that is found frequently in the 5'-untranslated regions of prokaryotic mRNAs that encode for flavin mononucleotide (FMN) biosynthesis and transport proteins. This element is a metabolite-dependent riboswitch that directly binds FMN in the absence of proteins.
Source: RNAcentral
AUCUUCAGGGCAGGGUGAAAUUCCCUACCGGUGGUUAUAGCCCACGAGCCGUUAUGGCAUGAUUCGGUGAAAUUCCGAAGCCGACAGUAAAGUCUGGAUGAAAGAAGAUA